Molecule: non-coding RNA, 345 nt
Organism: Phalacrocorax carbo (great cormorant)
Lineage: Eukaryota; Metazoa; Chordata; Aves; Suliformes; Phalacrocoracidae
Source: RefSeq, a predicted model, not a curated record
GAAUCAUGAAGUUUUUCUAGUCCGGCAUCUGCAGCGUGCCAACUGUAUGCCAGCACUACAGCUGAGCCAGGCGAGGAACGUUCAUCUCAUGAACGAUUGUGAUCCUCGCUGGGGACAGGGGGCAGCUGCCAGAAAUUCUCUGUCAGCAAAACAUGGCAAGAUCCUUCCUCGAGGUCAGAGGCAGCUGGCUGUAGAGAGAGCCAAGCCUUACCAUCUGCCUUCAUCCGGACCAAGAGGAGCCGCAAGACCAAAGCCAUUCUCAACAGUAACAGGACAAGCUAAUGCAGGAGAUGUGCCUCCCAGAGCACCUUUCAGCAGUCGUGUACUGGCCAAAGUUAGAGAGUU